This 760-nucleotide ribosomal RNA is filed under the name uncultured Neocallimastigales. Its description in RNAcentral is "partial large subunit ribosomal RNA". It matches the Rfam family "Eukaryotic large subunit ribosomal RNA", at positions 24 to 629 of the family's 3401-position model. The record is from RNAcentral. Lineage: Eukaryota; Fungi; Neocallimastigomycota; Neocallimastigomycetes; Neocallimastigales.
UAUCUCUGUAGAGUCUGCAUAUCAAUAAGCGGAGGAAAAGAAACUAACAAGGAUUCCCUUAGUAACGGCGAGUGAAGCGGGAAGAGCUCAAAUUUGAAAUCUUCAAGGUUCUACCUUGACGAAUUGUAGUUUAAAGAAGUGUUUUCUGUUAGAUGAGUAGCAAAAGUUCCUUGGAAUGGGACAUCAUAGAGGGUGAGAAUCCCGUAUUUGGUUAUUCAUUCUAGCUUUGUCGAUACACUUUCAAAGAGUCGGAUUGUUUGGGAAUGCAGUCCAAAAUGGGUGGUAAAUUUCAUCUAAAGCUAAAUAUUGGCGAGAGACCGAUAGCGAACAAGUACCGUGAGGGAAAGAUGAAAAGAACUUUGAAAAGAGAGUUAAACAGUACGUGAAAUUGUCAAAAGGGAAGCGUUUGACACCAGUGUUGUUUUUUCCGAAAAUCAAUUACGAAUGGCUUGAUUUUGUGUUGUAUUGACCUUAUCAGCUUUCUUCACUUUUUUCGAGUCUUUCUUAAUGCACUUUUCGGUUAACAAGUCAACAUCAAUUUCUUUUGUUGUAAAAGAGUAUUCGGAAGGUGGCUUUCUUUUCGGAGAAAGUGUUUAUAGCCUUUGGCCUCUGCAAUCGGAGAGAUUGAGGUCUGCAGCGUAGAUCCUUCGGGGUUAGAUACAUUUGUGCUAAGUUAUAGCCUUUCAUAGACAACUUGUUGACUAUGAUCAGUCAUGUAGCUUACUCGCUUAUGCUAUUUUACCUACGCUUAGGAUGUUGA